UAUGUGAUCGUCUCUCGCAUAUCAAUAAGCGGAGGAAAAGAAACUAACAAGGAUUCCCCUAGUAACGGCGAGUGAAGCGGGAAGAGCUCAAAUUUGAAAUCUUAAAGGGUUUCCCUUUACGAAUUGUAGUUUAAAGAAGUGUUUUCUGUUGAGGUUUUGGUAAAAGUUCUUUGGAAUAGGACAUCAUAGAGGGUGAGAAUCCCGUAUUUGACCUUUACUUUCAACUUUGUGAUACACUUUCAAAGAGUCGGAUUGUUUGGGAAUGCAGUCCAAAAUGGGUGGUAAAUUUCAUCUAAAGCUAAAUAUUGGCGAGAGACCGAUAGCGAACAAGUACCGUGAGGGAAAGAUGAAAAGAACUUUGAAAAGAGAGUUAAACAGUACGUGAAAUUGUCAAAAGGGAAGCGUUUGACACCAGUGUUGUUUUUCUGAAAAUCAAUUAAAGAACUGUUUAUGCUAAGCUGUUUAGACUUUAUCAGCUAAUCUGUUUAGUUUUGAGCUUUUCUUUAAUGCACUUUUCAGUUAACAAGUCAACAUCAAUUUCUUUUGCUGUAAAAAAGCUUGAGGAAGGUGGCUUGAGAUUCGUCUUAAGUGUUUAUAGCCUCUUGCCUAUGCAGUCGGAGAGAUUGAGGUCUGCAGCGUAGAUCCUUCGGGGCUAAAUGCAUUUGUGCUAAGUUAUAGCAUUUUAUAGACAACUUGUUGACUAUGAUUUGUCUUGUAGCUUACUCGCUUAUGUUAUUUUACCUACGCUUAGGAUGUUGACACACGCGCGUGCUCGACUCUAUACAUGACUCUGUGCAUAUCAAUAAGCGGAGGAAAAGGCUGCGGAACUGAACGACCGCUACCUACGCUUAGGAUGUUGACACACGCGCGUGCUCG
RNAcentral lists this ribosomal RNA (876 nucleotides) under uncultured Neocallimastigales. RNAcentral's name for it is "partial large subunit ribosomal RNA". It matches the Rfam family "Eukaryotic large subunit ribosomal RNA", at positions 24 to 643 of the family's 3401-position model. Lineage: Eukaryota; Fungi; Neocallimastigomycota; Neocallimastigomycetes; Neocallimastigales. The record is from RNAcentral.